UGAAGUCGAGCGGCGUGCUAAUACAUGCAAGUCGAACGAUGUGCUUUUGUAGUAUACGAGAGUAUCUAGUGGCGAACGGGUGAGUAACGCGUUGGUGACCUACCCCAAAGUGUGGGAUAACAGUCCGAAAGGAUUGCUAAUACCGCAUGUGGUCAUUGGGUUUAGAAACUAAUGACUAAAGCAGCAAUGCGCUUUGGGAAGGACCUGCGUCCCAUCAGCUAGUUGGUGAGGUAAUGGCUCACCAAGGCGACGACGGGUAGGGGACCUGAGAGGGUGACCCCCCACAAUGGAACUGAAACACGGUCCAUACACCUACGGGUGGCAGCAGUAGGGAAUAUUGCUCAAUGGGCGAAAGCCUGAAGCAGCAACGCCGCGUGCGCGAUGAAGGUCUUCGGAUCGUAAAGCGCUUUUCUGCGAGAUGAGAAAGGACAGUAUCGUAGGAAUAAGUCUCGGCUAACUACGUGCCAGCAGCCGCGGUAAUACGUAGGAGGCGAGCGUUGUCCGGAUUUACUGGGCGUAAAGAGCGCGCAGGCGGCACCUCAAGUACUCUCUGAAAUCCACCUGCUCAACGGGUGGGGUGGAGAGUAGACUGAGGAGCUAGAGAGAGGUAGAGGGGGGUAGAAUUGCUGGUGUAGCGGUGAAAUGCGUAGAGAUCAGCAGGAAUACCCGUGGCGAAGGCGGCCCCCUGGGCCUCUUCUGACGCCGAGGCGCGAAGGCUGGGGGAGCGAACGGGAUUAGAUACCCCGGUAGUCCCAGCAGUAAACGAUGACCACUAGGUGUGGGGGGUGUUGACCCCUUCCGUGCCGAAGCCAACGCAUUAAGUGGUCCGCCUGGGGAGUACGGUCGCAAGACUAAAACUCAAAGGAAUUGACGGGGCCCCGCACAAGCAGCGGAGCGUGUGGUUUAAUUCGAUGCGACGCGAAGAACCUUACCUGGGCUUGACAUGUACUCGCAAACCUGUGAAAGCAGGUCCUCCUUCGGGACGGGUACACAGAUGCUGCAUGGCUGUCGUCAGCUCGUGUCGUGAGAUGUUGGGUUAAGUCCCGCAACGAGCGCAACCCCCGUCUCUAGUUGAAUAUCUAGAGCGACUGCCGCAAACAAAGCGGAGGAAGGUGGGGAUGACGUCAAGUCAGCAUGGCUCUUACGUCCAGGGCUACACACACGCUACAAUGGCAGGUACAGUGAGAAGCCACCCAGCGAUGGGGAGCGGACCUCCAAAGCCUGCCCCAGUUCAGAUUGCAGUCUGCAACCCGACUGCAUGAAGGCGGAGUUGCUAGUAGCCGCGUGUCAGCAUAGCGCGUGAUGCCUACCCGGGCGUCACACACCGCCCGUCAGGCAGNUUCUCGCCCAUAUUGCAACA
This 1360-nucleotide ribosomal RNA is filed under the name uncultured bacterium. RNAcentral describes it as "partial 16S ribosomal RNA". It matches the Rfam family "Bacterial small subunit ribosomal RNA". The record is from RNAcentral.